GUGCCCUGCCUGGCCAAUAAAAGAGGAGUCAGUCCUACCAGAAGGAAUCAAGUGCUGGUCACAGACAGCCGCUGUAAUGAUUUAUAGCAGCUCUGCCCUGCAGUAGAUUCCAAGGACAUGGUACCAUUUGAACGAGGCUGGAUAUGAGAACGUGGAAAGAGAUGGUGUGGAGAAGAAAGCCUUUAGGAUAGCAGCUGUUCUGAGACUACCAGAAAAACCUUUGAGAGUGAAAUCCUAUGGCUGUGCAGGCAGUGAGGAGGCCCUGAUCUCAAGAGCUUUGUGCGGACAGAGCCUGAUGGAGGGCAGGGCGGCUGUGCGAAAGCUUGGCGUUUCUUCCUCUCCUGAGCCCGCUGCAAGGUCAGAGAUUGGGCUGUGAUCCAGUGCCCGCAACCUCCUUUCUGUCGCAGGGUAACACCUGUGUCUUGGACCUUUGCACGCAUCUGCGUGGCCCAGGGGCUCUGAAGCGUCCCUCUGAAUAGCUGCCGCGGCUUGAGGACCUGCGUCUCUGCACUCACCCACAGCUACAGGCUCAGAAAAACAAGCAAUGCGUUGAACUGACAAAAACCGCACGCAACGGUGGGCUAAAGACUUCUGUGUCAAGGCCACCAAGGAAAAA
This 616-nucleotide long non-coding RNA is filed under the name Struthio camelus australis. RNAcentral describes it as "lncRNA (ENSSCUG00000016994.1)". Lineage: Eukaryota; Metazoa; Chordata; Aves; Struthioniformes; Struthionidae. The record is from RNAcentral.